Molecule: long non-coding RNA, 977 nt
Filed under: Trifolium pratense (red clover)
Lineage: Eukaryota; Viridiplantae; Streptophyta; Magnoliopsida; Fabales; Fabaceae
Description: long non-coding RNA (TPRA_LNC003594)
Source: RNAcentral
GGAGUCCCUUACCUUCGCAGCAGCAGCUCUUAAUUCUUAACACAGCGGUCUUCACUCCACUACCUCUCAAUUAACCUUCAUAAUUAAAUAUUAACUCACUUAGUUUCAUAUCUCAUUAACUCUAGAUUUUGACUCAAAACUUGGGCUUUACUAGAUUAUAGUCUGCUAUUAGUCUACUACUUAAUGUUCCAAAUAUCCAACAUUCUUAAAAUAUCCCUAAACAAUAUAAGAGUACUACUUCUAAAACAGGGCCAUAUACUCCAAUUUUUAACAGUACAAGUGCACUAGUUAAUUUUAUAGGUUUGUAAAUAAAAUUAAGUGCAGGUAGUUUAGCCAAUAAAUCAACUGUUCCCUUAUUUUAAAACACAAACCGAUCAAUUUGAUGAGCUGAGAUACAACACUGCUUCACUGUUAACACAACCACUAACAUCAGCCUGCACUAAAACUACUAGUUUGUAAAAAUAACUCAAUUAAUCCACACUUAACUAUAUCUAAAACAACAAGAUAACAAUUAAUACAAGGCUUAUUCCCUUGAUGCUUAGUUAGAAACUAACAAUUAUCCUGGCCAUGGAUUGGGUUCAAACGAGAGAAAAUUAUCUCGGCACAUUUAUAUUUCCUAAAUUAAGGUUACCAACAAUUAGGAGGUAUGUUUGACAUCAACCUACAGUGAUUUAAAUAUAUAACUCCAUCGGUUUAAUAGCACUAAAUCCAAAGGGACAUUAAGAGUAUGAGUUGUGUUCUUACUUGUGGUGAGAAACUUAGAUGAUGACUCCUACAAUUUGAUCUUUCCUUGAUUCACCCCCUUCUUUCUAUGCUCUCUCUGUGUUUUCUGUAUGAAUAUUUGUUUCUCCCAAAAGUGUGAAGUAACGGGGAACUUACCAGUACUAAUAACUCCUAUAAUAACUCCCUCCUAAAUAAUAGAGACUGGUGGAAGAUUAUUGUUUUACUUCCCAAGCCGAGUCAGCUAUUAUUGAAUC